UACGAAGGGGGCUAGCGUUGCUCGGAAUCACUGGGCGUAAAGCGCACGUAGGUGGGUCGUUAAGUCGGGGGUGAAAUCCCAGAGCUCAACUCUGGAACUGCCUUCGAUACUGGCGACCUUCGAGUUCGGGAGAGGUGAGUGGAACUGCGAGUGUAGAGGUGAAAUUCGUAGAUAUUCGCAAGAACACCAGUGGCGAAGGCGGCUCACUGGCCCGAUACUGACACUGAGGUGCGAAAGCGUGGGGAGCAAA
This 250-nucleotide ribosomal RNA is filed under the name uncultured bacterium. Its description in RNAcentral is "partial 16S ribosomal RNA". It matches the Rfam family "Bacterial small subunit ribosomal RNA", at positions 524 to 772 of the family's 1533-position model. The record is from RNAcentral.